AAUGAACGCUGGCGGCAUGCCUUACACAUGCAAGUCGAACGGCAGCAUGACCUCGCUUGCUAGGUUGAUGGCGAGUGGCGAACGGGUGAGUAAUGCAUCGGAACGUGCCUUUUAGUGGGGGAUAACGUAGCGAAAGUUACGCUAAUACCGCAUAUUCUCUGAGGAGGAAAGCCGGGGACCUUCGGGCCUUGCGCUAGAAGAGCGGCCGAUGUCGGAUUAGCUAGUUGGUGAGGUAAAGGCUCACCAAGGCAACGAUCCGUAGCGGGUCUGAGAGGAUGAUCCGCCACACUGGGACUGAGACACGGCCCAGACUCCUACGGGAGGCAGCAGUGGGGAAUUUUGGACAAUGGGCGCAAGCCUGAUCCAGCCAUGCCGCGUGAGUGAAGAAGGCCUUCGGGUUGUAAAGCUCUUUCGGCUGGGAAGAAAUCGCACCCUCUAAUACAGGGUGUGGAUGACGGUACCAGCAGAAGAAGCACCGGCUAACUACGUG
RNAcentral lists this ribosomal RNA (490 nucleotides) under uncultured bacterium. Its description in RNAcentral is "partial 16S ribosomal RNA". It matches the Rfam family "Bacterial small subunit ribosomal RNA", at positions 29 to 507 of the family's 1533-position model. The record is from RNAcentral.